RNAcentral lists this ribosomal RNA (503 nucleotides) under Scinax curicica. RNAcentral's name for it is "partial large subunit ribosomal RNA". It matches the Rfam family "Bacterial large subunit ribosomal RNA", at positions 1921 to 2568 of the family's 2925-position model. Lineage: Eukaryota; Metazoa; Chordata; Amphibia; Anura; Hylidae. The record is from RNAcentral.
UGUUCAACGGCCGCGGUAUCCUAACCGUGCGAAGGUAGCGUAAUCACUUGUUCUUUAAAUGAGGACUAGUAUGAACGGCACCACGAGGGUUAUACCGUCUCCUCUUUCCAAUCAGUGAAACUAAUCUCCCCGUGAAGAUGCGGGGAUAGAGUUAUAAGACGAGAAGACCCUAUGGAGCUUUAAAAUUCUCUUCAGGCGCCAGACUAUUCUUACGGGUCACCAACCCCUUUACACUUACCCACGGCACCAUGAAAAUGACUUUUAGGUUGGGGUGACCACGGAGCAUAAAAAAUCCUCCACGCUGAACUAGGUCUCCAAACCUUGAGCGCAGGGCUACAACCCAAAGCACUAAAAAACUAACAUCCAUUGACCCAAUGUAUUUGAUCAACGAACCAAGUUACCCUAGGGAUAACAGCGCAAUCCACUUCAAGAGUCCCUAUCGACAAGUGGGUUUACGACCUCGAUGUUGGAUCAGGGUAUCCCAGUGGUGCAGCCGCUACUAA